UUUUGAUUGUGAUUAGAUUGCCUACAAAUAAACUAUACUGAAUAGAAAAUCCGAGAAACCACUUUGGACAUCUAAUCUCCUAAAUUCUCUUUUUCUUUUGGUUAAAAAUAUUUUCCUACAUUCUUGACAUGGUCCUAGAGAUUCCAGCAAUAUUUCAACACAUCUAAAACAUGAAACAAAGAUUCCAAGAAAAAGGAAAACUAGUGAGA
Hibiscus syriacus is the source of this 209-nucleotide long non-coding RNA. RefSeq lists it as uncharacterized. The transcript is spliced from 3 exons. NCBI's taxonomy places the organism in Eukaryota, Viridiplantae, Streptophyta, Magnoliopsida, Malvales, Malvaceae. The record is from RefSeq and is a predicted model, not a curated record.